GUCAGUUGGCUGCUGUGAGGACAAGGAAGAGUCACUGCCUGGAGGAGCUGCCUACAAGAAACAUUAAGGAGGUGUGAAACUCUAAGCUUUCAAAGCCCUCACAGGAUUUCUGUCAUGGAUCAGUGGCACCUUCCAGGAGGGAGUGAGAGAGGAUGAAAGAAUUUGUGUUAUGCCAUGUCAGCUGGCUACAGAGAGUGGGACCUUGCCCAUGUUAUUUAGCACUAUAAAGAACCUGAGCACAGAAGAAGUUAAAGACCAUCAGGCAGUUUUUCAACACACCCUCUAUGACAACUGUUCUGGAAAACUUCAUUGGGAGCCUUUUACUUGAUCUUGUAGGAAUAAACCUUAAAAUCCCAGGUCUCCCUGUUGAAAGGGAUUGAAUUUAAGAGAAUGGGCCAAGUCUUUUCCAAGGAUCACCCUUCCUGACUACGCAUCAAGUCUGAUGGAAUUUAAUUUACCCACAGGAGACAUCUUAUUUUUCAGAAGUCCUUAUAUCCACAGAGAACUUCCACAGAUGUCACAGAGAAGAGGUGGAUCAGCAAGGCUGUGAAACAGCUACUGCUAAUUUUCAUGUUCC
This is a long non-coding RNA of Zonotrichia leucophrys gambelii, 577 nucleotides long. RefSeq lists it as uncharacterized. The record is from RefSeq and is a predicted model, not a curated record. NCBI's taxonomy places the organism in Eukaryota, Metazoa, Chordata, Aves, Passeriformes, Passerellidae. The transcript has 6 exons.